This 473-nucleotide ribosomal RNA is filed under the name uncultured bacterium. RNAcentral describes it as "bacterial SSU rRNA". It matches the Rfam family "Bacterial small subunit ribosomal RNA", at positions 97 to 591 of the family's 1533-position model. The record is from RNAcentral.
GGCGGACGGGUGAGUAAUGCCUAGGAAUCUGCCUGGUAGUGGGGGAUAACGUCCGGAAACGGGCGCUAAUACCGCAUACGUCCUGAGGGAGAAAGUGGGGGAUCUUCGGACCUCACGCUAUCAGAUGAGCCUAGGUCGGAUUAGCUAGUUGGUGGGGUAAAGGCCUACCAAGGCGACGAUGCGUAGCCGACCUGAGAGGGUGAUCGGCCACAUUGGAACUAAGAUACGGUCCAGACUCCUACGGGAGGCAGCAGUGGGGAAUAUUGCACAAUGGGGGAAACCCUGAUGCAGCAACGCCGCGUGAGUGAUGAAGGUCUUCGGAUUGUAAAGCUCUGUCUUUUGGGACGAUAAUGACGGUACCAAAGGAGGAAGCCACGGCUAACUACGUGCCAGCAGCCGCGGUAAUACGUAGGUGGCGAGCGUUGUCCGGAAUUACUGGGCGUAAAGGAUGCGUAGGCGGAUACUUAAGUCAG